UUUUGAUGUCCUGUAUGUAUUCCAGCAGGACUCACUUGUGAAAUGCAUUGAUAUUUUUCAAUGAAAAAUAAAAAGUAGGUUCGAAUUGUAAUAUAUUUGCUAUAUGUUCCUGUGACCUUUGUGACAGUUCAGUUUCUCUAUUAGGUGGGUGCACCAGGAUUGUCAUGAUGAUUUGUUUGGAGGCUUGAAUUCUCUAUCAUCUUUCUACAUUUAUAUAUAGUGAUGUUCCUCUGUG
This 235-nucleotide unclassified non-coding RNA is filed under the name Hevea brasiliensis (rubber tree). Lineage: Eukaryota; Viridiplantae; Streptophyta; Magnoliopsida; Malpighiales; Euphorbiaceae. The record is from RNAcentral.